Molecule: ribosomal RNA, 253 nt
Filed under: uncultured bacterium
Lineage: Bacteria
Description: partial 16S ribosomal RNA
Rfam family: Bacterial small subunit ribosomal RNA
Source: RNAcentral
UACGGGGGGGGCAAGCGUUGUUCGGAAUUACUGGGCGUAAAGGGCUCGUAGGCGGCCAACUAAGUCAGACGUGAAAUCCCCCGGCUUAACCAGGGAACUGCGUCUGAUACUGGAUGGCUUGAGUUUGGGAGAGGGAUGCGGAAUUCCAGGUGUAGCGGUGAAAUGCGCAGAUAUCAGGAGGAACACCAAUGGCGAAGGCAGCUCGCUGGGACGGUACUGACGCUGAGACGCGAAAGCGUGGGGAGCAAACAGG